UAAACCAUGGAUUCGUUUCGACUUCACGGUUGCGUCUAAAACUUGAUAUUAGACUGCCUACGUAUCCUUAACAGAAUCAAACCGGCGUAGUUCGUUAUUUGAAUGAUUUUUGUGUUCAGACUUUUUAGGAAAAUGAGGAGCCAUUUGGAUUAGAUUUGAAUAAUUAAUGGGUAAUGUAAAUGACCCAUUAAUUUGAGUAUGACAAACUGGGAGGGUUUUUAGGAGCACGUCACAUCCACUUUUUUUCUCCACUUGAACUUCACGUGAAGUACUUUAGUUCAAAGUGGAAAGAGGUUUGCUUUUCCUUUCAUUAAAAAAAAAAAGGGACUCAAAGUCUAUCUCACAUGAGGUGUAUAGGUCAAAACUUAUUUAGAGAACCUUUCUUUUUAUUUUCAACACCAUUAAAAAAAAAAUGGGACUUUGAACCCACUUUGAUUUUUCAAACAUUCUGACAACAAACUUUUACUCCUCCAUUUUUUCUAUGUAACUCUUCCAAGUCCAAAGACUUUCUUUUCUACGUGUCUAAACUCCCACGUGAGAUGCAUCUUUAUCCAGGCCCCCUCUUGUGUAAUUGCUUCGGAAGUCCUCAUUUUCUUGACUCUAAACAUGUGGUUUUCAUCCAGCAGGAACCGUAAUACUUGGGCUUCAAAUAAUUUCGUAAUGUUUUGGAAUUCUUUUCAGGUUUGUCAACCGUUGAUUUCCAAAGGAAGAUGGGUAAGAUUGGUAGAGUUCAAACUCCUUUUGAUUUGUUCCAAUUUAUCUUCUUUUCCUCCCUAAACCGUCGAAGGAAAAUCAAGACGAAGAGGAGAAGAGAUCGAGCUGUCCUGGCAAUAGACCUCUCUUCCAUUCGAUUGUUUGGACAAGCGUUAAUUUAUGGCACCACAGG
Molecule: non-coding RNA, 886 nt
Organism: Malus domestica (apple)
Lineage: Eukaryota; Viridiplantae; Streptophyta; Magnoliopsida; Rosales; Rosaceae
Source: RefSeq, a predicted model, not a curated record